RNAcentral lists this ribosomal RNA (433 nucleotides) under uncultured bacterium. RNAcentral describes it as "partial 16S ribosomal RNA". It matches the Rfam family "Bacterial small subunit ribosomal RNA", at positions 28 to 507 of the family's 1533-position model. The record is from RNAcentral.
GACGAACGCUGGCGGCAUGCCUAACACAUGCAAGUCGAACGAGACCUUCGGGUCUAGGGGCGCACGGGUGCGUAACGCGUGGGAACCUGCCCUUAGGUUCGGAAUAACUCCCCGAAAGGGGUGCUAAUACCGGAUAAUGUCUUCGGACCAAAGAUUUAUUGCCUUUGGAUGGGCCCGCGUUGGAUUAGCUAGUUGGUAGGGUAAAAGCCUACCAAGGCGACGAUCCAUAGCUGGUCUGAGAGGAUGAUCAGCCACACUGGGACUGAGACACGGCCCAGACUCCUACGGGAGGCAGCAGUGGGGAAUAUUGGACAAUGGGCGAAAGCCUGAUCCAGCAAUGCCGGGUGAGUGAUGAAGGCCUUAGGGUUGUAAAGCUCUUUUACCCGGGAUGAUAAUGACAGUACCGGGAGAAUAAGCUCCGGCUAACUACGUG